RNAcentral lists this ribosomal RNA (1107 nucleotides) under Aurantiochytrium limacinum. RNAcentral describes it as "partial Bacterial large subunit ribosomal RNA". It matches the Rfam family "Bacterial large subunit ribosomal RNA", at positions 801 to 1792 of the family's 2925-position model. The record is from RNAcentral. Lineage: Eukaryota; Bigyra; Thraustochytrida; Thraustochytriidae.
GGGAUGAGCUGUGGAUAGGGGUGAAAGGCCAAUCAAACUUCGUGAUAGCUGGUUCUCUCCGAAAUGCAUUUAGGUGCAGCGUUGCGUGUUUCUUGCCGGAGGUAGAGCUACUGGAUGGCCGAUGGGCCCUAAAAGGUUACUGACGUCAGCCAAACUCCGAAUGCCGGUAAGUGAGAGCGCAGCAGUGAGACUGUGGGGGAUAAGCUUCAUAGUCGAGAGGGAAACAGCCCAGAUCGCCGGCUAAGGUCCCCAAGUCGUGGCUAAGUGGGAAAGGAUGUGGGACUCCCAAAACAACCAGGAGGUUGGCUUAGAAGCAGCCAUCCUUGAAAGAGUGCGUAAUAGCUCACUGGUCGAGUGGUUCUGCGCCGACAAUGUAGCGGGGCUCAAGUACACCGCCGAAACCGCGGCAAUCAACAUGUGUUUGUUGGUUGGGUAGGGGAGCGUCGUGCACGACGGUGAAGCACCUGGGUAACUUGAUGGUGUGGAGUGUGUGCGAGUGAGAAUGCAGGCAUGAGUAACGAAUGAUAUGUGGAAAACAUAUCCGCCGGAUGACUAAGGGUUCCUGGGUUAAGCUAAUCUUCCCAGGGUGAGUCGGGACCUAAGGCGAGGCCGACAGGCGUAGUCGAUGGAUAACCAGUUGAUAUUCUGGUACCCGUGUAUACGCGCCCAAUGGUGAAUCGGGGAUACUAACCACCCACAAGCAUCACAAUAUGCAACUUGUUGUAUGUGUGGUGGGUGUGCGUGGGACCUGAUCUGGUAGUAGCCAAGUGAUGGGGUGACACAGGUUGGUAGCCAAGCCACUUAUUGGAUUGUGGUGUAAGCGUGUGGCCCGUGAUAUAGGUAAAUCCGUAUCACAUUCAAGGGUGAGGCGUGAUGCGUACCCAUUGUUGGGGAUGUUGGUGAUCCUGUACUGUCGAGAAAAGCCUCUAGCGAGUGUGUACAUGGCCCGUACCCAUAACCGACACAGGUGGUCAGGUAGAGAAUACUAAGGCGUUCGGGUGAACUGUGGUUAAGGAACUCGGCAAAAUGCCCCCGUAACUUCGGGAGAAGGGGGACCACUGCUGGUGACAGACUGGUUGAGCUGGUGGUGGUCGCAGAGAAUAGAGG